AUGUAUGUGCAGACACAUACACGUACCUGUGCACACAUGCAUGUUUGUGUGGCUUUCCGUGUUUGUUGUUUAUUUCCAUUAUUUCUCUGUAGUGCCUUAAUGGUCCCAGUGAUGUCGGCUCAACUCCAGCUCCCUGUGUUUGUCCUCCGGGAAAACCAGGACUGCAGGGUCCCAAGGGUGAACCUGGACAGCCUGGGAACCCUGGCUACCCUGGACAAUCUGGUCAAGAUGGUAAGCCUGGAUAUCAGGGAAUUGCAGGAUCACCAGGUGUCCCAGGAUCCCCGGGAAUACAAGGAGUUCAAGGACUACCAGGUUACAAAGGAGAACCAGGGAGAGAUGGUGAAAAGGGUGACCGUGGACUUCCUGGUUUUCCAGGGCUUCAUGGAAUCCCAGGAUUAAAGGUUGAAAAAAAUCUAGUCUUCUCAUAUUCUACAAUAUUGCAUUUUAUUUCAAAUUAAAAGUAUUUUAUGUUACAAAUGUGUUACGGAUAAAUGCUCAAAUAUAAGGUGUAUUAAAGUAAAUGAUUGGAUUACUAUCAUAGUUUACAUAAAGCUCUUUACAAAUUUUCUUUAAAAUUUCUGGUCACAAAGUUUAUGGUAUUUAGACAUUGAUGAGUAAGUUUUAAUAUAUGGAAAUUCUUUUAACUAUAAGCCCUGAAAGAAAAAAAAAAAACUAUAAGCCCUGUACUUCAGGCCCUGUUAUGGUACCAACCAUCCUUAUUUUUCCUUGUUUUUCUUCAGAAAGCCUCAAAAAUAGGGCUUUUGUAAACAAAACUUAAAUUAUUUUAUUUCUAUUUUAUUUUAUGUUGGCAUAUUAAACCUUGUUUAUAAUUGAUGUUUUUUUCUUUAUCCUUUAAGAGACAUUUUCAUAUUUCUCUAAAAUUCAGUAUUUUAAUUCCAGUUAGUAAACAUACAGUGUUAUCUUACUUUCAUGUGUGUGAUGAGUGAUCCAACAACUGUAUACCUUAUUAUUCAGUAUUCUUCAUAAGUUUACUCUUAAUUACUCUUAAUCCCCUUCACCUAUUUUCCCACCCUCCACCUCUCCUCUGAUAUGCUUUAUUUUAAACGAGUACCCUUAAAGUUACUUUUUUUUUAAGCAAGAACAUUUUUUACUUGAAGCAUACUUCAGAAUACAUCAUUUGAAAAGAUAUAUAUAGAACAAAUAAUAGAAUACACAUUUUCUUCAAGUACACACAAAAAAAUCCCCUGGUUAAAUCACAUAAAGAGAGACAUAACAAAUAUUGGAAUUAAAAUAAAAAACUUAAAUAAAAAUAAAAUUCA
This 1280-nucleotide long non-coding RNA is filed under the name Canis lupus dingo (dingo). Its description in RNAcentral is "lncRNA (ENSCAFG00020013442.1)". The record is from RNAcentral. Lineage: Eukaryota; Metazoa; Chordata; Mammalia; Carnivora; Canidae.